AACGAACGCUGGCGGCAUGCCUAACACAUGCAAGUCGAACGAUGCUUUCGGGCAUAGUGGCGCACGGGUGCGUAACGCGUGGGAAUCUGCCCUUGGGUUCGGGAUAACCGUUGGAAGCGACGGCUAAUACCGGAUGAUGACGUAAGUCCAAAGAUUUAUCGCCCAGGGAUGAGCCCGCGUCCGAUUAGGUAGUUGGUGGGGUAAAGGCCUACCUAGCCGACGAUCGGUAGCUGGUCUGAGAGGAUGAUCAGCCACACUGGGACUGAGACACGGCCCAGACUCCUACGGGAGGCAGCAGUGGGGAAUAUUGGACAAUGGGCGAAAGCCUGAUCCAGCAAUGCCGCGUGGGUGAUGAAGGCCUUAGGGUUGUAAAGCUCUUUUACCCGGGAUGAUAAUGACAGUACCGGGAGAAUAAGCCCCGGCUAACUCCGUGCCAGCAGCCGCCGUAA
RNAcentral lists this ribosomal RNA (449 nucleotides) under uncultured bacterium. RNAcentral describes it as "partial 16S ribosomal RNA". It matches the Rfam family "Bacterial small subunit ribosomal RNA", at positions 29 to 523 of the family's 1533-position model. The record is from RNAcentral.